UUAUUAAAGGCCUAGUGAUAGUGAGAAGUGAGCUAAUGAUAGUGAUUGUAUUAACUCACCAUUAGGGUUUGCUAUAUUUGUUUAGUUGGGAUGAUGGCAUCGUAAUAUACUGUAAGACGGCAAGUCCUUGUAUGCCGGCUGGCCGGUGGAGAAAGAGGAGUCCCUUUUGAGCAAGCGACUAGCAUCAACCGUUAUAUUGACCAUUAUUGACUCUCAUAUUCAGAAUUUCGUAGAUACUGAUUUUCUCGAGAGAUUAUUUCCAUUGUAAAUAUGGUCCAUUGAUCUUGUUUCAUUUAGCAUAGGUAAGUAAAGUAAGUGCGGCCAUUUUUUGUAUAUAAAUAUCUCAACGUGAUUCGAUACUUGAUACUUUUCGUAAUUUUUCGGAUCUUGAUGAAUAGUGCGAGUGAAAUGUUAAUUUUUUUGCU
Photinus pyralis (common eastern firefly) is the source of this 425-nucleotide long non-coding RNA. RefSeq lists it as uncharacterized. Lineage: Eukaryota; Metazoa; Arthropoda; Insecta; Coleoptera; Lampyridae. The record is from RefSeq and is a predicted model, not a curated record. The transcript is spliced from 3 exons.